RNAcentral lists this unclassified non-coding RNA (208 nucleotides) under soil metagenome. RNAcentral describes it as "partial contains 5.8S ribosomal RNA, internal transcribed spacer 2, and large subunit ribosomal RNA". The record is from RNAcentral.
AACCUUAUGGACCUGCGGGCGUAUACCUGCGGAAGGAUCAUUACUGAGUGAGGGCCUUCGGGCUCGACCUCCAACCCUUUGUGAACACAACUUGUUGCUUCGGGGGCGACCCUGCCGUUUCGACGGCGAGCGCCCCCGGAGGCCUUCAAACACUGCAUCUUUGCGUCGGAGUUUAAGUAAAUUAAACAAAACUUUUAACAAUGGAUCU